Molecule: long non-coding RNA, 863 nt
Organism: Daphnia magna
Lineage: Eukaryota; Metazoa; Arthropoda; Branchiopoda; Diplostraca; Daphniidae
Exons: 4
Source: RefSeq, a predicted model, not a curated record
UCGACCACCCAACACAGUCUCAGUGACUCGAGUCCAACCUCGGACCUUUUCCAGCUUUGAAAGUUUGGUCCAAGGUUGGACUCGAGUCUUCACUACGGUUAUCGUCGGAUAACCGCUAGGGGGGGGGGACGUUAGAAAAUCCGUCAAGCAAUUUUCACGCCAUUAUCGUGAUAUUAUUGUUUUUAAACGAUUAAUCGAUAUCCCAGGGAUGUAAUUAAUCAAUGUUAAUGAUAUAUUUUGUGGGUGGAAUUUUAAGGGCUUCAAGCUUGUGAUUUUACAUUAGCUUUCCCUUUCAUAUAAAAUUUCAGAAAAGUCGUUUGGUACUACCGUUUAGUACCACCCGAUUUGUUAUUGUUUGUCAGUGGUUUCUCAAAACAUUGAAAUUCAAAAUUGUGUGGUUUUUUUGUUUGCUGGUAUUGAAAUGGAAAGAAAUAGUACCACAAAUCCGUGUAAUAGGUUCGACCCACAACAAGAGGCUCGACUCAACAAGCUUCGAGCUAGCCACCCAAGAUCCAGACUUGUUGAGAAUCCAGUUGAAGAACAAAGUAGGACUCGUGUCUUUGCCAAUACAAUCCCAUAAGUGGUAAUUUGCAGCUAUAUCCAUCACCUCAACUCUCCCCUAUUGUGACGGAAGUAAGUCAAUUACAAAGAGAAGAGGUUCCUAUUGCUUGGCAAGAAAAUUUACCUUAAGUAUCAAAUAUUCGGGGUUUGCAAUUUUACUGUGCUUGUUCCUUGUCUUUUAAAUUAUUAAAAAUGACUCAGAAUAAUUGUCCUGCAAUAUUACCUGAUAAAUGUACGGCUAGGGUUUAUGAUGUGAUUGUGCACCGGCAUAUGCAGGUUGGAAUAUUGAAUACAAAAUUAAG